GGGCCAGACUCCUACGGGAGGCAGCAGUGGGGAAUAUUGCACAAUGGGGGGAACCCUGAUGCAGCGACGCCGCGUGGGUGAAGGAGCACCUCGGUGCGUAAAGCCCUAUCGGCAGGGAAGAAAAGCGAACAGGUUCGCCUGGACGGUACCUGACUAAGAAGCCCCGGCUAACUACGUGCCAGCAGCCGCGGUAAUACGUAGGGGGCAAGCGUUAUCCGGAUUCACUGGGUGUAAAGGGAGCGUAGACGGCGACGCAAGUCUGGAGUGAAAGCCCGGGGCCCAACCCCGGGACUGCUCUGGAAACUGCGUCGCUGGAGUACGGGAGGGGCAGGCGGAAUUCCUGGUGUAGGGGUAAGAUCCGUAGAGAUCAAGAGGAAUACUCAUUGCGAAGGCGACCUGCUAGAACAUAACUGACGCUGAUGCGCGAAAGCGUGGGGAGCAAACAGGAUUAGAUACCCCUGUACUC
Molecule: ribosomal RNA, 466 nt
Filed under: uncultured bacterium
Lineage: Bacteria
Description: bacterial SSU rRNA
Rfam family: Bacterial small subunit ribosomal RNA
Source: RNAcentral